RNAcentral lists this ribosomal RNA (528 nucleotides) under uncultured delta proteobacterium. Its description in RNAcentral is "bacterial SSU rRNA". It matches the Rfam family "Bacterial small subunit ribosomal RNA", at positions 15 to 523 of the family's 1533-position model. Lineage: Bacteria; Deltaproteobacteria. The record is from RNAcentral.
GAUCCUGGCUCCAGAACGAACGCUGGCGGCGUGCUAAGACAUGCAAGUCGUGCGGAAAGCUCCUUCGGGAGCACUCGAGCGGCGCACGGGUGAGUAACACGUGGGUAAUCUGCCUUCGGCCCGGGACAACUUCGGGAACUGAGCUAAUACCGAUGAAGACCACGGGGACCUUCGGGUCCUGCGGAAAAGGUAGGCCUCUGCUUGCAAGCUACCGCCUGUCGAUGAGCCUGCGUCCCAUUAGCUAGUUGGUGGGGUAACGGCCUACCAAGGCGAUGAUGGGUAGCUGGUCUGAGAGGAUGAUCAGCCACACUGGAACUGAGACACGGUCCAGACUCCUACGGGAGGCAGCAGUCGGGAAUUUUGGGCAAUGGGCGAAAGCCUGACCCAGCAACGCCGCGUGAGGGAUGAAGGCCCUCGGGUCGUAAACCUCUGUCGGGAGGGAAGAACGAUCGGCAGUCGAACAGGCUGACGGUCUGACGGUACCUCCAAAGGAAGCACCGGCUAACUCCGUGCCAGCAGCCGCGGUAA